This 253-nucleotide ribosomal RNA is filed under the name uncultured bacterium. Its description in RNAcentral is "partial 16S ribosomal RNA". It matches the Rfam family "Bacterial small subunit ribosomal RNA", at positions 524 to 776 of the family's 1533-position model. The record is from RNAcentral.
UACGAAGGGGGCUAGCGUUGCUCGGAAUCACUGGGCGUAAAGCGCACGUAGGCGGACUCUUAAGUCGGGGGUGAAAUCCUGGAGCUCAACUCCAGAACUGCCUUUGAUACUGAGGAUCUUGAGUACGGGAGAGGUGAGUGGAACUGCGAGUGUAGAGGUGAAAUUCGUAGAUAUUCGCAAGAACACCAGUGGCGAAGGCGGCUCACUGGCCCGUAACUGACGCUGAGGCACGAAAGCGUGGGGAGCAAACAGG